Molecule: long non-coding RNA, 502 nt
Organism: Hipposideros armiger (great roundleaf bat)
Lineage: Eukaryota; Metazoa; Chordata; Mammalia; Chiroptera; Hipposideridae
Exons: 3
Source: RefSeq, a predicted model, not a curated record
CUCUGGGAAGUUCCAGGUUGGCCCUCCCAUCAGGGACAGCCACCGACGCUGCUGAGGGACCCAUCACAGAUUCCAGCAAUGUCCUCUUCAAGAACUGCGUCUGCUGAGUGCCCAGGCAGCCCCACAUGCCAUCCCUCUACCUGGCCCCCUGGGCUCCGAUGGGCUGAAGCUCUGCCCGCAGAAUCUGCCUGUGCAUGGAGCAAAGCGAGACGGAGGUUGGGCAGCUGAAGGAGCAGCCCCAGCUGUGACUUGGCUAGAGCCAGGGUGGACAUCAUCCUGGUGCUUUACCAUCACCACAAUGGCCAUAUGCAUUACUAAGGACCCGCUGCAGAUGAGGCACUAUGCCAAGUGCUCCACAUUCGUUAACACAGUAAACUCUCCCAGCGACUUCCAAAGGGAGACAUUGUUCCCAUUUUACAGAAGAUGGAAAAGGAGGCACCUGCUGGUGAAGAAACUUGCCUGAGGGCUGGCUGAGUGGCUCAGUUGGUUAAGAGCGCAAGCU